ACCUGGCUGGCUCAGUUGGUAGAGCAUGUGACUAUUGAUCUCAGGGUCAUGAGUUUGAGCCCCAUGUUGGGUG
Herpailurus yagouaroundi (jaguarundi) is the source of this 73-nucleotide non-coding RNA. Lineage: Eukaryota; Metazoa; Chordata; Mammalia; Carnivora; Felidae. The record is from the annotation of a RefSeq genome assembly.